Hipposideros armiger (great roundleaf bat) is the source of this 667-nucleotide long non-coding RNA. RefSeq lists it as uncharacterized. The transcript is spliced from 3 exons. Lineage: Eukaryota; Metazoa; Chordata; Mammalia; Chiroptera; Hipposideridae. The record is from RefSeq and is a predicted model, not a curated record.
CCCGGUGCAGCCACGUCCAGGGCGUGGCGGAGGGGCGGGCGGGGCCUGGAAGCUGCGAGGGCGUGGCCGUGCUCAAUGUUGUCUCCGCCGCUCGGUUGCCGUGAGUCCUGGGGCGGGUCCUUGGGCCUUUCUGAGCCUCAGCUUCUCACCUGUGAAAUGUGGGUAGGGCCACCUGCUCCCCAGUAGGGAGGGGUGCACAGGAUGAGAUGCAGGAAUGCUCCGACUGACCCCAGGAACUCCCCGUUGAUGGAAUGCCGGGUCGGUGACCUCGAAAACAUACUGGGGAAUUUCUUGCAAUGCCUUAUGCCUUUUAAAUUUUCGAUUGACGUGUAUUGGAUUAUUCUGAUACUUCUGAGCAUGUGGACGGUGAUUUUGAGAGGCUUUUAACAUCCGUUGGAGCACUUGGAUUAUACAUAGAAAAGAGAAAUGUAUUGGGUAUGUUGAUGAAAGAACGUCUAGCCUAAGAAAGUCUUACAAGAGUUCAUUUGAGCCAAACUGAUGACAAUUGCAGGCCUUUACAGAGCACCUACUUACUGGACCUUACCAUUUGCUGGCCCAAGAGCUGGAUGAAUUCCCAACACUUGGUAUCUUCGGCACACACAGCAGUAGAGAAGACUAUAGGUAAAGACAAGGAGAAUAAAAAAUAAUACAAACUGAUGUUGGGCCG